AAUGGCAGGUCAGCAUACUGCCGUGAAUACGUUCCCGGGCCCUUGUACACACCGCCCGUCACACCAUGAGAGUUGGGAAUACCCGAAGCCUGUGAGCUAACUUUUAGAGGCAGCAGUCGAAGGUAGAAUCAAUGAUUGGGGUGAAGUCGUAACAAGGUACC
Molecule: ribosomal RNA, 161 nt
Filed under: uncultured bacterium
Lineage: Bacteria
Description: partial 16S ribosomal RNA
Rfam family: Bacterial small subunit ribosomal RNA
Source: RNAcentral